This 290-nucleotide ribosomal RNA is filed under the name uncultured beta proteobacterium. RNAcentral's name for it is "partial 16S ribosomal RNA". It matches the Rfam family "Bacterial small subunit ribosomal RNA", at positions 1102 to 1397 of the family's 1533-position model. Lineage: Bacteria; Pseudomonadati; Pseudomonadota; Betaproteobacteria. The record is from RNAcentral.
CCCUUGUCUUAGUUGCUACUUUAGUUGGGCACUCUAUGAGACUGCCGGUGACAAACCGGAGGAAGGUGGGGAUGACGUCCAGUCCUCAUGGCCCUUAUAGGUGGGGCUACACACGUCAUACAAUGGCUGGUACAAAGGGUUGCCAACCCGCGAGGGGGAGCCAAUCCCACAAAGCCAGUCGUAGUCCGGAUCGCAGUCUGCAACUCGACUGCGUGAAGUCGGAAUCGCUAGUAAUCGUGGAUCAGAAUGUCACGGUGAAUACGUUCCCGGGUCUUGUACACACCGCCCGU